Molecule: small nuclear RNA, 124 nt
Filed under: Heterocephalus glaber (naked mole-rat)
Lineage: Eukaryota; Metazoa; Chordata; Mammalia; Rodentia; Bathyergidae
Description: U4 spliceosomal RNA
Rfam family: U4 spliceosomal RNA
About the family: U4 small nuclear RNA (U4 snRNA) is a component of the major U2-dependent spliceosome. The structure of U4 snRNA from yeast and human has been reported. U4 snRNA presents a k-turn RNA motif in the 5p-SL related to recognition of Snu13 protein.
Source: Rfam by way of RNAcentral
AGUUUUGCACAGUGGAAGUAUCAUAGCCAAAGAGGUUUAUCUGAGGCAGGAUUAUUGAUAAUUGAAAAGAAAGAUCACCUCACACCCAGAUGUAUCAACUAAGGGAAAGCAGAUCCUUUGAGGA